Molecule: long non-coding RNA, 7323 nt
Organism: Oncorhynchus tshawytscha (Chinook salmon)
Lineage: Eukaryota; Metazoa; Chordata; Actinopteri; Salmoniformes; Salmonidae
Source: Ensembl
UGCUGGCUAGCAGAGUAGAACACCUGUUUAGGAGAGGUGCUGGCUAGCAGAGUAGAACACCUGUUUAGGAGAGGUGCUGGCUAGCAGAGUAGAACAAAAGAAAAGGAGAGACGCAAACUCUAGGAGCUCAGACGCAAUAAUUUAAUAACUAACGUUUCGACAGCCAAGCUGUCUUCAUCGGGGUAAAGCUGCAAUGCUUCCCACAGUUGUCAAGUUGGCUGGAUUUCCUUUGGGUGGUGGACCAUUCUUGAUACAUGUGGGAAACUGUUGAACUCUUGACACACUCAAACCUGUGCGCCUGGCACCUACUACCAUACCCCGUUCAAAGGCACUUCAAUCUUUUGUCUUGAACAUUCACCCUCUGAAUGGUACACACACACAAUACAUGUUUCAAUUGUCUCAAGGCUUAGAAAUCCUUCUUUAACCUGUCUCCUCUCCUUCAUCUACACAGAUUAAAGUGGAUUUAACAGGCAACAUCAAUAAGGGAUCAAGACUUUCACCUGGCCAGUCUACAUGGAAAGACCAGGUGUUCUCACUUUAAAAAACAACUAAAAUAGUGAUUUUGUCAGACAGCAUAGAUGAGGAAGACUUGGAAUUAAAUAAUAGUCGUAAAAUUAAACAAAUGUAAUUUACACAACUGAAAUAUUUUAGGAAGUUAAUGUAACUAAAUGAUGGUUAAUUUAUUUUUAUUUAACUAGGUAAGUCAGUUAAGAACAAAUUCUUAUUUUCAACGACAGCCUAGGAACAGUGGGUUAGUUGCCUUGUUCAGGAGCAGAACGACAGAUUUUUACCUUGUCAGCUCGGGGAUUCAAUCUUGCAACUUUUCAGUUACAAGUCCAAUGCUCUAACCACUAGACUACCUGCCGCCCCAGGCUGCAGUAAUGGGCUGUCACUACCAUCAUGGAACUUUUAUUAAAUGUUUUAUUCUGUAUUGGUAUAGCAUUCAACCCACAUAAUGCAUAGUGCAUUUCAUGUUUUAAAAAAUUAUCGAAAUCGAAAACCCUGAUUAUUUUUUAAUAAUGGAACUGAAACCGACCAACCUCAAAAAGCACUAAUCGCUCAGCACUGCUCUAUUUCCAAAGCAGCACCCAUCAACCCUUACCACCCUCACCUCUGUUUUCACCCACACCUUCCUCCCAUUAUCCCCUUCUCCUCCAUGUUCUCUCCAUCCUCAUCUCUCCAUGAUAGUCCUAACCAACCCUAACCCAUCCUCAAGCAAACAUAGCCAGUGGACCUGUGGAGUAUUUAACAUAUAGGCACUGGCCACCAGAUAGAACAUGGACACUGGCCACCAGAGGGAACAUGGACACUGGCCACCAGAGGGAGCAUAGACACUGGCCACCAGAUAGAACAUGGACACUGGCCACCAGAGGGAGCAUGGACACUGGCCACCAGAUAGAACAUGGACACUGGCCACCAGAGGGAGCAUAGACACUGGCCACCAGAUAGAACAUGGACACUGGCCACCAGAGGGAACAUGGACACUGGCCACCAGAGGGAGCAUAGACACUGGCCACCAGAUAGAACAUGGACACUGGCCACCAGAGGGAGCAUGGACACUGGCCACCAGAUAGAACAUGGACACUGGCCACCAGAGGGAGCAUAGACACUGGCCACCAGAUAGAACAUGGACACUGGCCACCAGAGGGAACAUGGACACUGGCCACCAGAGGGAGCAUAGACACUGGCCACCAGAGAGAACAUGGACACUGGCCACCAGAUAGAACAUGGACACUGGCCACCAGAGGGAACAUGGACACUGGCCACCAGAGGGAACAUGGACACUGGCCACCAGAGGGAGCAUAGACACUGGCCACCAGAGGGUACAUGGACACUGGCCACCAGAGGGAGCAUAGACACUGGCCACCAGAGGGAGCAUGGACACUGGCCACCAGAGGGAGCAUGGACACUGGCCACCAGAGGGAGCAUGGACACUGGCCACCAGAUAGAACAUGGACACUGGCCACCAGAGGGAACAUGGACACUGGCCACCAGAGGGAACAUGGACACUGGCCACCAGAGGGAGCAUAAACACUGGCCACCAGAGGGAGCAUGGACACUGGCCACCAGAGGGAGCAUGGACACUGGCCACCAGAGGGAGCAUGGACACUGGCCACCAGAGGGAACAUGGACACUGGCCACGAGAGGGAACAUGGACACUGGCCACCAGAGGGAACAUGGACACUGGCCACCAGAGAGAACAUGGACACUGGCCACCAGAGAGAACAUGGACAGUGGCCACCAGAGAGAACAUGGACAGUGGCCACCAGAGAGAACAUGGACAGUGGCCACCAGAGAGGACAUGGACACUGGCCACCAGUGGGGACAUGGACACUGGCCACCAGAGAGAACAUGGACACUGGCCACCAGAGAGAACAUGGACAGUGGCCACCAGAGAGAACAUGGACAGUGGCCCCCAGAGGGAACAUGGACAGUGGCCACCAGAGGGAACAUGGACACUGGCCACGAGAGGGAACAUGGACACUGGCCACGAGAGGGAACAUAGACACUGGCCACCAGAGAGAACAUGGACAAUUCCCUACAGUUACACCUCUCAGUUCCUUUCUCUCUCAGUUCCUCUCUGUCUCAGUUCCUCUCUGUCUCAGGUCCUCUGUCUCAGUUCCUCUCUGUCUCAGUUCCUCUCUGUCUCAGUUCCUCUCUGUCUCAGUUCCUCCGUGGUAAAAGAAGAAGAAAUGAGAGCGUAUGACUACUACUUGACAACAAAACCAAACCAGUUUCACUCAACAACAACGUUAAACAUAUUGUAUCUAUCUAUGCAUGUUCCUAAACCUGCAAGUAUAGAUAUGAACUUUUAACAAAGUUGGGUUUUUUGUACAUUUUUUACCAGAUUCUGUGUUCUGGUAUCAGUAAUAUUUAUUUAUUCUCCUGCUUUAUUUGUUUAUUUGUUUGUAAUCAGUAAACUUCCAGAUGAAUGAGUGAAGAACUGCUGCAGCUCUCCAACAUUCAGGACUUUUGUUUCAGGGUAAUUUCAGUUCUUGUUUGUCAGGCUCUCAUCUGAUGCUAUGGGAGACUGUCUCUGAGCUUCUGAUGAAUGUACUGUGUGCCCGGGGUCUUUGCUGUCCCCUCCUCACCUCACGUCCCCACCAUACUGACCACAGCUCAACUCAACCCUCUUUCCGAGGCACUGCAAAGACUUCAUGUCCACCUCUACUCCUGUGGGGCUACCCAGAUCCCAAAAUGGAUGACUUGACAUGGAUGGAAAAACCUACAAACGUUUCACCAAAACAUCAGCUCUCUCACUUUGCCCUCUUGUCCAGGUUGUUACAUGGUACUCGUUCUUCCCUCGUUUUCAUUCACAGUAUGUUCUCCUGAAAAGAAAGUGACUGACUAGGUUACGACAAGAGAAGAACUCAGGCUUCACAUGUAUGUGACACUUAUUUCAUCCUUCAUUGAAGUACAUCCAUGCCACUCUACCACAUUCCCCUGAUUCAUGAUUCUCUCUGCAAUAAGCCCACUUUACAAGAAAGAAAAGGAAGUCACUCUUUCUUUAAUAAAGUCAAUAUGGUCUUGUAUGAUAGGGAGAAACAGACUGACAAGAAGGAAGGCUCUUUAUUUUCACAAUCUGAGUUCUGGAAUGGGCACUCUCUCGUUCUCUCUCUCUAGCAUUCCCUCAUGGCAUUCGCAAGAUACUUUAUACACUUCUUCACACAGGGUCAGGUUAACAGGGAUAUUGUAUGUUUUCUACCUGUUGAUCCCUUUAAAAACCUCUCCCUUGAAGCCCACCCCUCAGGCAUGCAUGCUCCUCAGACCAGACCAAAGGGUAAGACAACACUGAUCCCUGGUCAGAUUUUAGAGGGUUGUGUCCCUCUCUCUGUAUCAAUACUCAUCAGUCUUUGUUGCGCAGUAUCUCACUCCUGUGUGGGCUAGGUGGUUUAGGUGGGCCAUUCAGCUCAUGUCUAUGAUGAGGUGUAUUCCAAACCAAUCAACUACAUCAGCUAUGUUCCAAACAUCGACACUAGCGUGCUAAGGCAUACACCAACUAUAAUAGCUUCAAAGCAGUGUGCUAGUCUGGAUGUUGGACCAGAGCCUUAGUUUCUCUCAUUGGAGAUAAAGAGAGAACUAUUUUCUAGUUGGUUCACCCCGACACAGGCACCUUCUCAACUUCUACUGUUGUUGUUCUAUAGCCAGUCAUGUGAAUGCUUAAUGGCACGGUCAGGUGGUGGCUGAUAAGAUAAUGCCUGGGAGGCAUCCAUCCAUGUCAGAAGCAUGAUCUCUGGUACUGUAGCCUCGCUUAUAUAUGCAUGCAUCUUAGCCAACAGUUCGGUCUUAUAAUGACUCCUUUACUGCCUCUAACCCUGACAGAAUUCACCUCUAACCCUGGCAGAAUUCACCUCUAACCCUGGCAGAAUUCACCUCUAACCCUGGCAGAUUUCACCUCUAACCCUGGCAGAAUUCACCUCUAACCCUGGCAGAAUUCACCUCUAACCCUGACAGAUUUCACCUCUAUCCCUGACAGAAUUCACCUCUAACCCUGUCAGAAUUCACCUCUAACCCUGGCAGAAUUCACCUCUAACCCUGACAGAUUUCACCACUAACCCUGGCUUAAUUCACCACUAACCCUGGCUUAAUUCACCUCUAACCCUGGUAGGAUUCACCUCUAACCCUGGCAGAAUUCACCUCUAACCCUGACAGAUUUCACCUCUAACCCUGACAGAAUGUACCUCUAACCCUGGUAGAAUUCACCUCUAACCCUGACCGAUUUCACCACUAACCCUGACAGAUUUCACCUCUAACCCUGGCAGAAUUCACCUCUAACCCUGACAGAAUUCACCUCUAACCCUGAUAGGAUUCACCUCUAACCCUGGCAGAAUUCACCUCUAACCCUGACAGAUUUCACCUCUAACCCUGACAGAAUGUACCUCUAACCCUGGUAGAAUUCACCUCUAACCCUGGCAGAAUUCACCUCUAACCCUGACAGAUUUCACCACUAACCCUGACAGAUUUCACCUCUAACCCUGGCAGAAUUCACCUCUUACCCUGGCAGAAUUCACCUCUAACCCUGGUAGAAUUCACCUCUAACCCUGACAGAAUUCACCUCUAACCCUGACAGAUUUCACCACUAACCCUGACAGAUUUCACCUCUAACCCUGACAGAUUUCACCUCUUACCCUGGCAGAAUUCACCUCUAACCCUGACAGAUUUCACCUCUAACCCUGACAGAAUUCCCCUCUUACCCUGACAGAAUUCAAUGCAGAAGCCCCUCUUGCGUUAUCUAGAAUAGCUUGUCCACUUUAGCCAUAUGUUUAUGGUUUACUGACCCUAAACAAUGGUUCGCUCAUAGAGAUACUGUAUGGAAUGUGUUUCUAAUGGACAGAACUGGAGAACACUGUAGUGGACACUAUGGCACCUGAAGAGGAUCCAGAAAUAAACCUAAUCAGAAAAGGUGUCCUAUUUCGAUGUUUUUUGUCUGCCAUUUGUUUCAAGUUGUGUUGAUUUUUUUAUCUUAUUUGUUCAUACCUCCACUGUUUCUCCUCUGAGAGCUAGAAGAACAUGUCACAUUUCUAUGAUUGUGUUUUUUUAAUGCUUUUGAUUGUUUAAAGUGAAUGUAAGAUUUCAGUCACUAUUUGUGUCCCAUUGUUUGUGAUAUGAUAUCUUUAAAAUCUUCAAAUAAAUGUAGCAUUUUUGUCUAAUCAAAGACACAUGUGACUGUUCCCAGUUAGAGAAUGUCUCUCUCUCUCGCUCUCUCUCUCUCUCUCUCUCUCUCUCUCUCUCUCUCUCUCUCUCUCUCUCUCUCACUCACUCACUCACUCACUCACUCACUCACUCACACACACACACACGUUAUACAACAAUUCCCAGAGCUCAACUAUUGAUUUGACUGUCGUUAUCCAUAAUUGCAUCCUGCCCUAACAAUGGAGGACAUUUUAUUUUUCUCAGAAUCACAGUUCUGUUUUCAGCCAGUGCAAGAAAGUCUAUGGCCCCAUGAGAGGCUUGGACAAGUUAAUUUGGUUCAAUCAAGCCAGCAGUUAGUUGAUUCAGGUGCAUAAAUGUUCCAUUCAAAGCGACUGGAGAUUCUGAGAAACAUUUUACUCUUGGGAGUUUUAACUCAAUGGCACAAUCAGGUGCUUUUGUUACAGUACGUUGGCAACAACACGUUCAUUAAGGCACUGUAUUGUUGGAUGGUAAAUAGAUUUUUCUUAUUGUCCUAAACUACAACCCAAAUGACAUCAGAUUGAAAGUCCAACCAAUUCAUUGUUCAUUCUGAGCAACACAGUACACAUGAAUCUAUAUUAAACCGUUGUGUCGCAUGAAAUGUGUUAGUCUCUGGAGUUGAAUAUCUUUAUAUUUUCUUCUCUGAGUGACAUGAAUGGGGUCCUCUGGGUCUUCCUGCCAAUGGUGUUGAGUGGCUAGAUUACAGAACCAUGUGCUACAUAUUACAUCACACAAAUAUAACUACUGGUUUGAGGGAAUGUAUAUUUUCCUUUGUGAUCUCAGUCCCUUUAUUACACAGCAACAUGUUAUUUGUCCCACAAGACUGGGAUGAACGUGUCAAUUGCACAUUUUUUAAAAUGUAACCAUUGCAACUCUUAUGUAUUUAAAUUCUGUCCAAUUUUAAACUGUGACAGGAGGCAUGACCUUGAGCGUCACACAGUGACAUUACUGUCCCUUCAUACGCAUGGUCACGUAGAUCAUAUGGCUUCCACACAACUACCUCAGAGCCCUGGCCACCUCUAACGGGGCGUUAGCAUCUAUAGGAACUGAGAUCCGCACAUCUCUGAUAUUCUAAUCGACACGAAUGCUAUGCAUGAUCCAAUCUCAAGUCUUCUCCUGCAUGUACUUCUCUUUCUGUACCUUUACCGAUUCCAUCACACCACUCACUCUGCCUUCAUCCCAAAUGGCACCCUAUUCCUUGUGGUGCACUACUGUUGACCCAGAGCCUGAUGGGCCCUGCUCAAAAGUAGUGCACUAUAUAGGGAAUAGGAUGCCAUUUGGGACGGGCCCUCUGACUUGCUGCCAUUACAACAUUCCAUCCAUCCUCCCUCACUUCUUUAAAUCCCUCUAAUGAAAGGAAACAUUGUUAUAAGGACAUUAACACAACGUCGAAGCAAUAAAAUAAUGCUAACAAAAUGUCUUCCAUGCAAUUUCAAUGAUUGAUGAAGUUACCAAUGGAAUAAUGAUGAUUUUUAGAGUUUUUAUUUACUAAUUCACACCUGAUUUGGUUUCUAAAAGUGAAACGAUAAAAAGCUUACUACUUGUUGAGAACUAAUUUGACUAACUUAUUCAUUAAUUUGUUUCAAUAAAGUUAUUUAAUUGAAUGUUAUGUUUCCAGUCUCUCAUUUGAGUAACCCAGUGUUAUUUCUC